Molecule: long non-coding RNA, 156 nt
Organism: Bufo bufo (common toad)
Lineage: Eukaryota; Metazoa; Chordata; Amphibia; Anura; Bufonidae
Exons: 3
Source: RefSeq, a predicted model, not a curated record
GCAAUUUUCAGUGCGGCUUGUUCGCGCUUCUUGCCGCCCGAAGUCUCGCAUCUCGCGGGACUUCGGGGGCAGUCGCGGGGGGGGGGGGCGGGGCGCUCGGAGCACGGGAUUCUCGGGCGCCAUCUUGGUGUUCCCUUAAUAUACCUUGUGGCGCCG